CUCCUUUUCUCUAAUGGCAUCCUCUUGUCUCGUCCGGAAAGGAUUUGUCGAAAAUGUCGCAUUUGUUAUUCUCUCACUGUGAUCCCAAUUGAUUUCUUCUUCAUCUUCUUUUAUGAACCUGGCUUUCGCAUCUUCUUAGCUCUGGGCCAUUCCUCCGGUGAUUUUGGGUUGCAAUGGUUGGGAAAAUAUUUUUGUUAGAACUUUGUACUAACCGAAUGCUUCAGGAUGGUAUAUGAUUUCUGAAACAAGGUCAUAUGGAUUUGAAAACACCAGCUGGAUUCCGUUCAGAUCUCUGUUCAACUGGAAGACUUUCUCUUCCAUCUUGAUGUUGAAAUCUCUAGCCACAAUGUUGUAUUCUUCAAUACAUUUGCUUCCAUAAAAGAGCUGAGUUGUUCUUUCCAGGGGUAAGCAUCCAAAAGGAGAGAGUCCCGACAAAGACAUCUUCCGAGCUCCGAGUCUGUAUAUAUCUGUCACGAAAUCUGCUGCUAUUCCUAUCAGGAAAUAUUGGUACUCGUUCACUGAGUACUUCCGUAACUUGCGGGGAAGAAGAUAGUAAUUCUCCAGGAAAUCGUUGGUUCCGAUACUAAUCAGCUGAAGCGAAACAGACACCAGUGGCAAAGUCUGCAAUGUUGUAUGCUGGAUCUAGGUAGGCAGGGACUGCGUUCUUGAGUCCCAAACCUUCAGAAAUGAAGUCUGGUGCAAUCCGGCCAUUUGAAAAUCUCCCAGUCGCUUUGCCGUCAAAGUAAUCCCGGCCAUAUGGCUGGAAAUUGCUCUUCAGAACAGUAGAAAUCUGGUUGUUGUUGCCUGAAUCAACAGUUGAGUCACCAAAUACGAUAAGUGCGGGAAAUUUUGCACACGUUUCAGGUAUCUUCACCAAGAGCUGAGCUGCUAGCAACAAGAACGCAAGAACUCUGUUUCGCUGCAUGCUUUUUACACAAGUUUUUUCAAUUUUUUGCUUCUGCAAAACAAGAACCUCACGAUUAAUUGGGAAGAACAAUUGGAGCAAGCAUUUAAGAUGGAGAAAGAUAGGUAUCUUCUAUCAAACCUGACUAAAACAGAUUUAGCUCGUGUAGUUAAUACCUUGGCCUGUUGUUAGAUGAUGCUUAUUAAAUACUCCUUAGUCUGAUAUGUCUCUGUUUAUUUUUGGCCACAGAGAGUUAGUUGAGGUGAGUAAUGAGCUGAAAAUGAUUGAGAGUUUCAAUAAUAGUUGUGCAGCAGAGAGCCGUAUUUAUAGCUACUAAAAAAGAGAGAAAGACAGAAUAUUUUAAAAUAGAAGGAUUCGUACCAUUGCAAGCUUCAGAUGUAUAUGUAACGCAUCUUCCUUUUUACCGGAUUCACGCUCAAAACUCAACUCUCUGUUCUUGUAUCACUUACUGUUUUUAUUGCUUACUGAGUCUAGAGUCUUGAAUGUAAAGAUUAUUUGCACUUUGGGUGAACUGUGUCGCACGUUUUGG
This 1454-nucleotide long non-coding RNA is filed under the name Arabidopsis thaliana (thale cress). RNAcentral's name for it is "potential natural antisense gene, locus overlaps with AT4G26790 (AT4G26795)". The record is from RNAcentral. Lineage: Eukaryota; Viridiplantae; Streptophyta; Magnoliopsida; Brassicales; Brassicaceae.